AAAGUAAGUGAAAUCUCGCGCUUGAAUAUUUCCUUAACUCAGCCGUACAGAACUUGAUUACUCCAGCUUGUUGAGUAUUCACACUGUUAGCUUUUCUUUGUUAUUUCUUCUGUUGUCUGUUAAAUCAUUACUAGACUCAUUAACAUCUCCUGCAGAGAUCUGGCAGGAGAAAUAAAAGGGGAUAAAUUGUAAACCAGUUAAAGUUGCUCUAAGAGAAGCAAUUCUGUUAAGCUUAAGGGGAGGACAGGGAAAAUGGACAAAAUAAGAUGUGGGAUAUUUCUUGCAUUUUUUAUCUUUUGGUGUGCUAUGUGUUAAGUGCUCGUGAUCAAAAUUUACAUAACUAGGAAUAAUGAAGGAGUUGGCUUCAACGUCUCAAGUAGUGACAACCACAUAAAAUAUGAUAUUUGUAAUAGAUGGCAAAUCUGCCUUAAAAAUUGCUUGAAGGAAUUUACAUUCCUCCCUAGAUUUGUGAUCAUGUCAUGUUAAUGUCUAUAAUAUUGGAAAAAGUAUUUACAAGAUCUACUGAAGAUUUAAAAAUAAAUGAAUGAAGAAAUAUAAUAAAUAUGAUGGUUGUGAACUGGUAGCUUAGCCUAAAAGCAGUUUUGGCUUGUCUUCUUACUGGCAUUUAAGAUGCCCUACUUGUUCAUUCUUUGCUGUGUUUAAGUUGGUUUUAGAAAAUAUAAAUUGGGAAGGUAGCUUCAGAAAUUGGGGAUUUUCUAAACCUUCAGAAAAAUCUUAUGACUGAGGGAAGUUCCAGAAAUUGAGGGCUUUUUCAAACUUUUGAAAAUUCUUGCUGCUGAAAGAUGAUGCUAUGCAGUCAAUGUAGCCAAGUGCUAUGUCAUUGUCAUUAAUAAAAUUAGACCUGUACCGGAGUACUGAGUUGUGUAAGCAUCAUAAUAAGGUUAUAACAAGGUAUUCUUACUCUUUGGCUAGCUGUCAACAGACAUUAUUAUUACAGAUUCCUGGACAUAAACUAAUCUAUUCUUCAUAUCUAUACCAAUUUUAAUAAAAUGUUAUCUAUUUAAAUCAUAUCUGUACAAUGAAACCUAUGCAUAAGUCUUAUGCUUACCAUUUUGAACAGAUUAAUGAGUUCCUAUUUUAAAGGCUUCGUUUUGAUGUUUGUUUAAAAGGCUAUUGCAAAUCAGAUUUCUUAAUGUAAAAGCUGACAUCUGGAGGUAAAACAGCAUAGAAACUUUUAAAUCUUCAAAAAUUGGACAAAAGAAGUAACUGAUUUAACUAAUACUUGUAUUGACUCAUUUUAUUUAGCCUCACUUCAUUUACCAUUCUUUUAAAAUGCUGUUGUCGCUA
RNAcentral lists this long non-coding RNA (1308 nucleotides) under Bos taurus (domestic cattle). RNAcentral describes it as "long non-coding RNA NONBTAT025525". The record is from RNAcentral. Lineage: Eukaryota; Metazoa; Chordata; Mammalia; Artiodactyla; Bovidae.